UACGUAGGUGGCAAGCGUUGUCCGGAUUUACUGGGCGUAAAGAGCGCGCAGGCGGUCGUUCAAGUCGCGUGUGAAAGCCCCCGGCUCAACUGGGGAGGGUCACGCGAUACUGAUCGACUCGAAGGCAGGAGAGGGUAGUGGAAUUCCCGGUGUAGUGGUGAAAUGCGUAGAUAUCGGGAGGAACCACAGGGGCGAAGGCGACUACCUGGGCUGUUUCUUGACGCUGAGGCGCGAAAGCUAGGGGAGCAAACGGG
This 254-nucleotide ribosomal RNA is filed under the name uncultured bacterium. RNAcentral's name for it is "partial 16S ribosomal RNA". It matches the Rfam family "Bacterial small subunit ribosomal RNA", at positions 524 to 776 of the family's 1533-position model. The record is from RNAcentral.